GAUGAACGCUGGCGGCGUGCCUAAUACAUGCAAGUCGAACGAGUCCUUCGGGCCUAGUGGCGAACGGGUGAGUAACACGUUGGUACCUACCCUCUAGUGGGGAAUAACUGGCCGAAAGGUCGGCUAAUACCGCAUAAUACCGCAAGGUUAAAGCAGCAAUGCGCUAGAGGAGGGGCCUGCGGACCAUUAGCUUGUUGGUAGUGUAAUGGACUACCAAGGCGACGAUGGGUAGCUGGAUCGAGAGGUUGACCAGCCACACUGGGACUGAGAUACGGCCCAGACUCCUACGGGAGGCAGCAGUAAGGAAUCUUCCACAAUGGACGAAAGUCUGAUGCAGCAACGCCGCGUGCAGGAUGACGGCCUUCGGGUUGUAAACUGCUUUUAUAUGGGAAGAUUAUGACGGUACCAUAUGAAUAAGGACCGGCUAACUACGUGCCAGCCGCCGCGGUAA
RNAcentral lists this ribosomal RNA (451 nucleotides) under uncultured bacterium. Its description in RNAcentral is "partial 16S ribosomal RNA". It matches the Rfam family "Bacterial small subunit ribosomal RNA", at positions 28 to 523 of the family's 1533-position model. The record is from RNAcentral.